GAUUAGCUAGUUGGUGGAGUAAAAGCCUACCAAGGCNACGAUCAGUAGCUGGUCUGAGAGGAUGAUCAGCCACACUGGGACUGAGACACGGCCCAGACUCCUACGGGAGGCAGCAGUAGGGAAUUUUCCGCAAUGGGCGAAAGCCUGACGGAGCAAUGCCGCGUGGAGGGUGAAGGCCUAUUGGGUUGUUAACUCCUUUUCCCAGAGAAGAACUGACGGUAUCU
RNAcentral lists this ribosomal RNA (224 nucleotides) under uncultured cyanobacterium. Its description in RNAcentral is "partial 16S ribosomal RNA". It matches the Rfam family "Bacterial small subunit ribosomal RNA", at positions 239 to 480 of the family's 1533-position model. Lineage: Bacteria; Bacillati; Cyanobacteriota. The record is from RNAcentral.